Non-coding RNA from Schistosoma margrebowiei, 45 nucleotides. The record is from Rfam. Lineage: Eukaryota; Metazoa; Platyhelminthes; Trematoda; Strigeidida; Schistosomatidae.
AUCCAGAUUACGAGUCCUAAGUAGAACGAAACACGCGUUCUGGAU